RNAcentral lists this small RNA (576 nucleotides) under Pongo abelii (Sumatran orangutan). RNAcentral describes it as "processed transcript". The record is from RNAcentral. Lineage: Eukaryota; Metazoa; Chordata; Mammalia; Primates; Hominidae.
CCUACCCAUCCUAAUCCGCGAAUGCUCCGAUGUGCAGCCCAAGCUCUGGGCCCGCUACGGGAAAAAAGUCUCUCAUCCCUGACCUCGAGUGCCCCAAGCCAGCAGUGUCACAAUCUACUCAGCAAACACAACUUCCCCACCCACAAUAGGCUCUAGAUGAACGUUCAAAACAACCCCGAACUCCAGGAAGCGCCACGAUGCCGUUUCACCAUUAAUGUGGAUCUCACUGAUGAGAGCUGCCAAAAACGCUUGAAGCGUCAUUGAAUUGUCAACGAAAAGAGUCCAACUCUGUAAAAUAUUUGAAAAGACUUAUUCUGAGCCAAAUAUGAGUGACCAUGGCCCUUGACACAGCCCUCGGGAGGUCCUGAGAACAUGUGCCCAAGGUGGUCCGGUACAGCUUGGUUUUACAUAUUUUAGGGAGAUAUGAGACUUCAAUUCAUUCAAGAAAUACACUGGUUGGGCCGGGCCUGGUGGCUCACGCCUGUAAUCCGAGCACUUUGGGAGGCCGGGGCGGGUGGAUCAACUGAGGUCAGGAAUUUGAGACCAGCCUGGCCAACAUGGUGAAACCCCAUGUUU